UGCAGUCGAGCGGACAGAUGGGAGCUUGCUCCCUGAUGUUAGCGGCGGACGGGUGAGUAACACGUGGGUAACCUGCCUGUAAGACUGGGAUAACUCCGGGAAACCGGGGCUAAUACCGGAUGGUUGUUUGAACCGCAUGGUUCAGACAUAAAAGGUGGCUUCGGCUACCACUUACAGAUGGACCCGCGGCGCAUUAGCUAGUUGGUGAGGUAACGGCUCACCAAGGCGACGAUGCGUAGCCGACCUGAGAGGGUGAUCGGCCACACUGGGACUGAGACACGGCCCAGACUCCUACGGGAGGCAGCAGUAGGGAAUCUUCCGCAAUGGACGAAAGUCUGACGGAGCAACGCCGCGUGAGUGAUGAAGGUUUUCGGAUCGUAAAGCUCUGUUGUUAGGGAAGAACAAGUGCCGUUCAAAUAGGGCGGCACCUUGACGGUACCUAACCAGAAAGCCACGGCUAACUACGUGCCAGCAGCCGCGGUAAUACGUAGGUGGCAAGCGUUGUCCGGAAUUAUUGGGCGUAAAGGGCUCGCAGGCGGUUUCUUAAGUCUGAUGUGAAAGCCCCCGGCUCAACCGGGGAGGGUCAUUGGAAACUGGGGAACUUGAGUGCAGAAGAGGAGAGUGGAAUUCCACGUGUAGCGGUGAAAUGCGUAGAGAUGUGGAGGAACACCAGUGGCGAAAGCGACUCUCUGGUCUGUAACUGACGCUGA
Molecule: ribosomal RNA, 710 nt
Filed under: Bacillus sp. (in: firmicutes)
Lineage: Bacteria; Bacillati; Bacillota; Bacilli; Caryophanales; Bacillaceae
Description: bacterial SSU rRNA
Rfam family: Bacterial small subunit ribosomal RNA
Source: RNAcentral